GAUGAACGCUGACAGAAUGCUUAACACAUGCAAGUCGAUGGGGAAGUGGUGCUUGCACCCUGGCAACCAUGGCGGACGGGUGAGUAACGCGUAAGGGACUUACCUGCAGGACUGGGAUAACAGGGGGAAACUCCUGACAAGACCGGAUAAUGUCAUGGAGCUGCAUGGCUUUAUGAUGAAAGGAGACGCCUGCGGAGAGCCUUGCGUCCUAUUAGCUAGUUGGUGAGGUAAUGGCUCACCAAGGCGAAGAUAGGUAGCCGGCCUGAGAGGGUGGACGGCCACAAGGGGACUGAGAUACGGCACUGACUCCUACGGGAGGCAGCAGUGGGGAAUAUUGGACAAUGGGGGCAACCCUGAUCCAGCAAUUCUGUGUGCACGAAGAAGGUUUUCGGAUUGUAAAGUGCUUUCAGCAGGGAAGAAGUAAGUGACGGUACCUGCAGAAGAAGCGACGGCUAAAUACGUG
Molecule: ribosomal RNA, 463 nt
Filed under: uncultured bacterium
Lineage: Bacteria
Description: partial 16S ribosomal RNA
Rfam family: Bacterial small subunit ribosomal RNA
Source: RNAcentral